RNAcentral lists this ribosomal RNA (474 nucleotides) under Salinivibrio sp. SS3. RNAcentral's name for it is "bacterial SSU rRNA". It matches the Rfam family "Bacterial small subunit ribosomal RNA", at positions 1 to 459 of the family's 1533-position model. Lineage: Bacteria; Pseudomonadati; Pseudomonadota; Gammaproteobacteria; Vibrionales; Vibrionaceae. The record is from RNAcentral.
AAAUUGAAGAGUUUGAUCAUGGCUCAGAUUGAACGCUGGCGGCAGGCCUAACACAUGCAAGUCGAGCGGAAACGGCAGCAUUGAAGCUUCGGUGGAUUUGCUGGACGUCGAGCGGCGGACGGGUGAGUAACGGCUGGGAACCUGCCCUGACGAGGGGGAUAACCGUUGGAAACGACGGCUAAUACCGCAUAAUGUCUUCGGACCAAAGGUGGCCUCUACAUGUAAGCUAUCGCGUUGGGAUGGGCCCAGUUAGGAUUAGCUAGUUGGUAAGGUAAUGGCUUACCAAGGCGACGAUCCUUAGCUGGUUUGAGAGGAUGAUCAGCCACACUGGGACUGAGACACGGCCCAGACUCCUACGGGAGGCAGCAGUGGGGAAUAUUGCACAAUGGGGGAGACCCUGAUGCAGCCAUGCCGCGUGUGUGAAGAAGGCCUUCGGGUUGUAAAGCACUUUCAGCAGUGAGGAAGGUGGUGUAC